Molecule: transfer RNA, 73 nt
Organism: Halobacteroides halobius DSM 5150
Lineage: Bacteria; Bacillati; Bacillota; Clostridia; Halanaerobiales; Halobacteroidaceae
Rfam family: tRNA
About the family: Transfer RNA (tRNA) molecules are approximately 80 nucleotides in length. Their secondary structure includes four short double-helical elements and three loops (D, anti-codon, and T loops). Further hydrogen bonds mediate the characteristic L-shaped molecular structure. tRNAs have two regions of fundamental functional importance: the anti-codon, which is responsible for specific mRNA codon recognition, and the 3' end, to which the tRNAs corresponding amino acid is attached (by aminoacyl-tRNA synthetases). tRNAs cope with the degeneracy of the genetic code in two manners: having more than one tRNA (with a specific anti-codon) for a particular amino acid; and 'wobble' base-pairing, i.e. permitting non-standard base-pairing at the 3rd anti-codon position.
Source: Rfam
CGCGGGAUAGAGCAGUUGGUAGCUCGUCGGGCUCAUAACCCGGAGGUCGCUGGUUCGAAUCCAGCUCCCGCAA